RNAcentral lists this unclassified non-coding RNA (520 nucleotides) under uncultured Glomus. RNAcentral describes it as "SSU rRNA". It matches the Rfam family "Eukaryotic small subunit ribosomal RNA", at positions 569 to 1092 of the family's 1831-position model. The record is from RNAcentral. Lineage: Eukaryota; Fungi; Glomeromycota; Glomeromycetes; Glomerales; Glomeraceae.
AGCAGCCGCGGUAAUUCCAGCUCCAAUAGCGUAUAUUAAAGUUGUUGCAGUUAAAAAGCUCGUAGUUGAAUUUCGGGAUCAAUAUGUUGGUCGUGCCUCGGUACGUACUAGCUUAUUGGUUUCUCCUUUCUGAAGAACCAUGAUGUCAUUAAUUUGGUGUCGUGGGAAAUCAGGACUGUUACUUUGAAAAAAUUAGAGUGUUUAAAGCAGGCUCGCGCUUGAAUACAUUAGCAUGGAAUAAUGAAAUAGGACGUUUGAUUCUAUUUUGUUGGUUUCUAGGAUCGACGUAAUGAUUAAUAGGGAUAGUUGGGGGCAUUAGUAUUCAAUUGUCAGAGGUGAAAUUCUUGGAUUUAUUGAAGACUAACUACUGCGAAAGCAUUUGCCAAGGAUGUUUUCAUUAAUCAAGAACGAAAGUUAGGGGAUCGAAGACGAUCAGAUACCGUCGUAGUCUUAACCAUAAACUAUGCCGACUAGGGAUCGGAUGAUGUUAAUUUUUUAAUGACUCAUUCGGCGCCUUACG